CCUACGGGAGGCAGCAGUGAGGAAUAUUGGUCAAUGGGCGAGAGCCUGAACCAGCCAAGUCGCGUGAAGGAUGAAGGCUCUAUGGUUUGUAAACUUCUUUUAUAUGGGAAUAAAGUGUGGAACGUGUUCCUUUUUGUAUGUACCAUAUGCAUAAGCAUCGGCUAACUCAUUGCCAGCAGCCGCGGUAAUACGGAGCGUGCGAGCGUUAUCCGGAUUGAUUUGGUUUAAAGUGUGCGUAGGUGGUUAAUUAAGUCAGCGGUGAAAGUUUGUGGCUCAACCAGAGAAUUGCCGUUGAAACUGGUUGACUUGAGUAUAUUUGAGGUAGGCGGAAUGCGUGGUGUAGCGGUGAAAUGCAUAGAUAUCACGAAGAACUCCGAUGGCGAAGGCAGCUUACUAAACUAUAACUGACACUGAAGUACGAAAGCGUGGGGAUCAAACAGGAUUAGAUACCCUUGUAGUC
RNAcentral lists this ribosomal RNA (460 nucleotides) under uncultured bacterium. Its description in RNAcentral is "partial 16S ribosomal RNA". It matches the Rfam family "Bacterial small subunit ribosomal RNA", at positions 338 to 795 of the family's 1533-position model. The record is from RNAcentral.